CAUUGCAUGUUUUUAUGCAUUGAAUUAAAGAUAACAAUAUAUGCAAUCCUUUUUGGGAUUCGUCGGAACUGCUUAAAGCUCUUGAACUUGGAGGAAAGAGGGGAGAAGCAAUAAUCAUAAAAGCUGAUUCAAUGCUCUGGAUAUAAAUCAAGGGAGUGUAUCUAUCUACCUACUCGAAUAAUCACUAGGCUCUCAAAGUGUGUGAAUUUUCUUGAAUGUCUUAUGGUUUCUUGGGGGUCCAUUUCAUGACUUUGGUAAAUAUCUUAAACCUUUCAGCUUGGUGUUGCUUGUCUUUUAAAACCAUUACUUAAAUUGUUUGCAUGUACUUAUCGCUUAUAUUUUUGAACUA
Quercus lobata is the source of this 349-nucleotide long non-coding RNA. RefSeq lists it as uncharacterized. The transcript has 3 exons. The record is from RefSeq and is a predicted model, not a curated record. NCBI's taxonomy places the organism in Eukaryota, Viridiplantae, Streptophyta, Magnoliopsida, Fagales, Fagaceae.